Molecule: ribosomal RNA, 439 nt
Filed under: uncultured bacterium
Lineage: Bacteria
Description: partial 16S ribosomal RNA
Rfam family: Bacterial small subunit ribosomal RNA
Source: RNAcentral
CUACGGGGGGCUGCAGUGGGGAAUAUUGCACAAUGGGGGGAACCCUGAUGCAGCAACGCCGCGUGGAGGAUGACACAUUUCGGUGCGUAAACUCCUUUUAUAUAAGAAGAUAAUGACGGUAUUAUAUGAAUAAGCACCGGCUAACUCCGUGCCAGCAGCCGCGGUAAUACGGGGGGUGCAAGCGUUACUCGGAAUCACUGGGCGUAAAGAGCAUGUAGGCUGGUUUGUAAGUUGGAAGUGAAAUCCUAUGGCUUAACCAUAGAACUGCCUCCAAAACUACUUACCUAGAGUAUGGGAGAGGUAGAUGGAAUUUCUGGUGUAGGGGUAAAAUCCGUAGAGAUCAGAAGGAAUACCGAUUGCGAAGGCGAUCUACUGGAACAUUACUGACGCUCAGAUGCGAAAGCGUGGGGAGCAAACAGGAUUAGAUACCCGUGUAGUC